This 271-nucleotide ribosomal RNA is filed under the name uncultured bacterium. RNAcentral describes it as "partial 16S ribosomal RNA". It matches the Rfam family "Bacterial small subunit ribosomal RNA", at positions 28 to 297 of the family's 1533-position model. The record is from RNAcentral.
GACGAACGCUGGCGGCGUGCUUAACACAUGCAAGUCGAGCGGUAAGGCCCUUUCGGGGGUACGACGAGCGGCGAACGGGUGAGUAACACGUGGGUGACCUGCCCUCAGCUUUGGGAUAAGCCUGGGAAACCGGGGUACUAAUACCGGAUAUGACUCCGUGACGCAUGUUGUGGGGUGGAAAGCCUUGUGCGGCUGAGGAUGGGCCCGCGGCCUAUCAGCUUGUUGGUGGGGUGAUGGCCUACCAAGGCGACGACGGGUAGCCGGCCUGAGA